AGCCCGGUAGUGUAGUGGUCAAAUUCUCUAAAUAAAAAUUUUAUUUAUAGAAGACUAAGCAUCCAAGGCUUUGGACCUUGAGACCCAGGUUCGAAUCCUGGCCGGGCUA
Molecule: transfer RNA, 109 nt
Filed under: Candidatus Pacearchaeota archaeon
Lineage: Archaea; Nanobdellati
Description: tRNA-Gln
Rfam family: tRNA
About the family: Transfer RNA (tRNA) molecules are approximately 80 nucleotides in length.
Source: RNAcentral